Molecule: ribosomal RNA, 916 nt
Filed under: uncultured bacterium
Lineage: Bacteria
Description: bacterial SSU rRNA
Rfam family: Bacterial small subunit ribosomal RNA
Source: RNAcentral
AGUUUGAUCCUGGCUCAGGAUGAACGCUAGCUACAGGCUUAACACAUGCAAGUCGAGGGGAAACGAUAUUGGAAGCUUGCUUCCGAUAGGCGUCGACCGGCGCACGGGUGAGUAACGCGUAUCCAACCUGCCCAUCACUUGGGGAUAACCUUGCGAAAGUAAGACUAAUACCCAAUGACGUCUCUAGAAGACAUCUGAAAGAGAUUAAAGAUUUAUCGGUGAUGGAUGGGGAUGCGUCUGAUUAGCUUGUUGGCGGGGUAACGGCCCACCAAGGCGACGAUCAGUAGGGGUUCUGAGAGGAAGGUCCCCCACAUUGGAACUGAGACACGGUCCAAACUCCUACGGGAGGCAGCAGUGAGGAAUAUUGGUCAAUGGACGAGAGUCUGAACCAGCCAAGUAGCGUGCAGGAUGACGGCCCUAUGGGUUGUAAACUGCUUUUAUAAGGGAAUAAAGUGAGUCUCGUGAGACUUUUUGCAUGUACCUUAUGAAUAAGGACCGGCUAAUUCCGUGCCAGCAGCCGCGGUAAUACGGAAGGUCCGGGCGUUAUCCGGAUUUAUUGGGUUUAAAGGGAGCGUAGGCCGGAGAUUAAGCGUGUUGUGAAAUGUAGACGCUCAACGUCUGCACUGCAGCGCGAACUGGUUUCCUUGAGUACGCACAAAGUGGGCGGAAUUCGUGGUGUAGCGGUGAAAUGCUUAGAUAUCACGAAGAACUCCGAUUGCGAAGGCAGCUCACUGGAGCGCAACUGACGCUGAAGCUCGAAAGUGCGGGUAUCGAACAGGAUUAGAUACCCUGGUAGUCCGCACGGUAAACGAUGGAUGCCCGCUGUUGGUCUGAAUAGGUCAGCGGCCAAGCGAAAGCAUUAAGCAUCCCACCUGGGGAGUACGCCGGCAACGGUGAAACUCAAAGGAAUUGACGG